RNAcentral lists this ribosomal RNA (387 nucleotides) under uncultured bacterium. Its description in RNAcentral is "bacterial SSU rRNA". It matches the Rfam family "Bacterial small subunit ribosomal RNA", at positions 32 to 418 of the family's 1533-position model. The record is from RNAcentral.
AAUCAACGCUGGCGGCGCGCUUAACACAUGCAAGUCGAACGAGAAAGGGGAGCAAUCCCUGAGUAAAGUGGCGUACGGGUGAGUAACACGUGGAUCAUCUACCUCUUAGUGGGGAAUAACUCUGGGAAACCGGAGCUAAUACCGCAUAAGCCUGGAAAGGGAAAGCGUUGUCGUAAAAACGACGCGCUGAGAGAGGAGUCCGCGGCCGAUUAGCUAGUUGGCAGGGUAAAAGCCUACCAAGGCAUUGAUCGGUAGCCGGCCUGAGAGGGCACACGGCCACACUGGCACUGAAACACGGGCCAGACUCCUACGGGAGGCAGCAGUGGGGAAUCUUGCACAAUGGGGGCAACCCUGAUGCAGCGACGCCGCGUGAGCGAUGAAGCCCUC